RNAcentral lists this long non-coding RNA (342 nucleotides) under Homo sapiens (human). RNAcentral's name for it is "non-protein coding lnc-RRP1B-1:1". The record is from RNAcentral. Lineage: Eukaryota; Metazoa; Chordata; Mammalia; Primates; Hominidae.
GCCAGGCUCAGGGUACACCUAUUGCCAGGGAGCUCCCACUGAUUCCUUGUGAGUGUAGCACAGAUUUGUUGCGACUGGACCAUCUGCACGUCUGGGCUUCAGAGCUGUUCUCCCCAGCUGUUUUCUGCCAGGUCCUGUCAGAGGCAGCCACCCUCCCUGGGCAGAGCAAAACCUUGAGCCUGUGUUUGGAUUUUGUUUCUGGGCCUAAGCCUAAGGCUUCAGUUUCACAUUCUUGGUACCUCCUGGUGGUGCCUGGGAGGGAGCCACUGCUGUACAGAGAUGCCAAUUCCAGAGGCAUGGUCCGGCACAGAGCGCUGGCUUCCAGCUGAAGGACAUGUGUAA